Molecule: ribosomal RNA, 442 nt
Filed under: Boaedon fuliginosus (brown house snake)
Lineage: Eukaryota; Metazoa; Chordata; Lepidosauria; Squamata; Lamprophiidae
Description: partial 16S ribosomal RNA
Rfam family: Bacterial large subunit ribosomal RNA
Source: RNAcentral
UAUUAAAGGCAACGCCUGCCCAGUGAACAAUUAAACGGCCGCGGUACCCUAACCGUGCAAAGGUAGCGUAAUCACCUGUCUAUUAAUUGUAGACCCGUAUGAACGGCAAAAUGAGGGUUUAACUGUCUCUUAUGAUGAUUCAAUUAAACUGAUCUCCCAGUCCAAAAGCUGGGAUACCCACAUAAGACCAGAAGACCCUGUGAAGCUUUAACUAAACUAUUAAACCCAAUAAUAGCUCCUUUGGGUUGGGGCGACCUUGGAAAAAAAAAGAACUUCCAAACUCGACCCAGCACAGCUGAGUAAUGAACCAAGUUACUCCAGGGAUAACAGCGCCAUCUUCUUCAAGAGCCCAUAUCAAAAAGAAGGUUUACGACCUCGAUGUUGGAUCAGGACAUCCUAAUGGUGCAGCCGCUAUUAAGGGUUCGUUUGUUCAACGAUUAAC